GAUGAACGCUAGCGGCAGGCCUAAUACAUGCAAGUCGAACGAUAGAAGAGAGCUUGCUCUCUUUGAAAGUGGCGCACGGGUGCGUAACGCGUAUGCAACCUACCUUAAUCAGGGGGAUAGCCCGAAGAAAUUCGGAUUAACACCGCAUAAAAUCACAGUACAGCAUUGUACAAUGAUCAAAUAUUUAUAAGAUUAAGAUGGGCAUGCGUGACAGUAGCUAGUUGGCGGGGUAACGGCCCACCAAGGCGACGAUGUCUAGGGGAUCUGAGAGGAUGACCCCCCACACUGGUACUGAGACACGGACCAGACUCCUACGGGAGGCAGCAGUAAGGAAUAUUGGUCAAUGGAGGGAACUCUGAACCAGCCAUGCCGCGUGCAGGAAGACAGCCCUCUGGGUCGUAAACUGCUUUUAUUCGGGAAUAAACCUACUUACGUGUAAGUAGCUGAAUGUACCGAAGGAAUAAGGAUCGGCUAACUCCGUGCCAGCCGCCGCCGUAA
This 498-nucleotide ribosomal RNA is filed under the name uncultured bacterium. RNAcentral's name for it is "partial 16S ribosomal RNA". It matches the Rfam family "Bacterial small subunit ribosomal RNA", at positions 28 to 523 of the family's 1533-position model. The record is from RNAcentral.